GAUGAACGCUGGCGGCGUGCCUAAUACAUGCAAGUCGAGCGAACAGACGAGGAGCUUGCUCCUCUGACGUUAGCGGCGGACGGGUGAGUAACACGUGGAUAACCUACCUAUAAGACUGGGAUAACUUCGGGAAACCGGAGCUAAUACCGGAUAAUAUAUUGAACCGCAUGGUUCAAUAGUGAAAGACGGUUUUGCUGUCACUUAUAGAUGGAUCUGCGCCGCAUUAGCUAGUUGGUAAGGUAACGGCUUACCAAGGCAACGAUGCGUAGCCGACCUGAGAGGGUGAUCGGCCACACUGGAACUGAGACACGGUCCAGACUCCUACGGGAGGCAGCAGUAGGGAAUCUUCCGCAAUGGGCGAAAGCCUGACGGAGCAACGCCGCGUGAGUGAUGAAGGUCUUCGGAUCGUAAAACUCUGUUAUUAGGGAAGAACAAAUGUGUAAGUAACUAUGCACGUCUUGACAGUACCUAAUCAGAAAGCCACGGCUAACUACGUG
RNAcentral lists this ribosomal RNA (497 nucleotides) under uncultured bacterium. Its description in RNAcentral is "partial 16S ribosomal RNA". It matches the Rfam family "Bacterial small subunit ribosomal RNA", at positions 28 to 507 of the family's 1533-position model. The record is from RNAcentral.